UCCAUUCCCAGGCUUCCCACCCGCGAGGCCCUCUGCCCAACUAGGUUUAGCGCCGCCGCCGUCCAGCUCCGGCGUCGCCGCUCCCCAGCUCCGGCCCUCCCUCUCAAGGGCACCCGCGGCGAGGUGCCAUGCGGCCAGGGCCGCCACCUCCCUCGGCCCUCUGAGCUCGCCCCACGCGCACCCCCUCCCUGCCCCCUCCCUCGCCCACCUUGAGAUCCGGCCGGCGCGCUGGGUCGGAGCGUCAGGCGAGGCCGGCUGGCGAGCGCGGGCAGGGCAGGGCCUCCGCGCACCCAGGUGGGAGACGUCGCACAGGGCUGGGCUAGCCGCCCAGAGCAGUGCGCCUUCUCGCCACUGAUCCCAGAAACGCAUCAUGGCCUCCGCGUCUGGAUUCACCAACUACACCGCCUUCUGAUUUUUGGAAAUCUCAGGCACCUUGAAGCUUCUUUUGGCUUGCCCAAGACUUAUGGUCUGGAGGCACUACUUCUUUUAUUGUGAUGUUCAUCCCAUGGUCAUGUAAUUUAAGACACUUUUGGUUUGCAAACUAGUCAACUUAGGAGCUUCAAUGUUGGUGAAAUGAACAAAUACAUGUUGCUCUUAUUUGUUGCUCUAAUUGCUGAAUGAAAAAUGGUGUGUGGUUCCUUGUUGUUGUAAAUUCUAUAUGCUUAGGCCA
Panicum virgatum (switchgrass) is the source of this 670-nucleotide long non-coding RNA. RefSeq lists it as uncharacterized. Lineage: Eukaryota; Viridiplantae; Streptophyta; Magnoliopsida; Poales; Poaceae. The transcript is spliced from 2 exons. The record is from RefSeq and is a predicted model, not a curated record.